CCUACGGGCGGCAGCAGUGAGGAAUAUUGGUCAAUGGACGGGAGUCUGAACCAGCCAAGUAGCGUGAAGGAUGACUGCCCUAUGGGUUGUAAACUUCUUUUAUAAAGGAAUAAAACGAGGCACGUGUGCCUUUUUGCAUGUACUUUAUGAAUAAGGAUCGGCUAACUCCGUGCCAGCAGCCGCGGUAAUACGGAGGAUCCGAGCGUUAUCCGGAUUUAUUGGGUUUAAAGGGAGCGUAGAUGGGUUGUUAAGUCAGUUGUGAAAGUUUGCGGCUCAACCGUAAAAUUGCAAUUGAUACUGGCAGUCGUGAGUACAGUUGAGGUAGGCGGAAUUCGUGGUGUAGCGGUGAAAUGCUUAGAUAUCACGAAGAACCCCGAUUGCGAAGGCAGCUUACUAAACUGUGACUGACAUUGAUGCUCGAAAGUGUGGGUAUCAAACAGGAUUAGAUACCCCAGUAGUC
This 460-nucleotide ribosomal RNA is filed under the name uncultured bacterium. RNAcentral's name for it is "partial 16S ribosomal RNA". It matches the Rfam family "Bacterial small subunit ribosomal RNA", at positions 338 to 795 of the family's 1533-position model. The record is from RNAcentral.